GGGAUUGUAGCUCAAUUUGGUUAGAGCAUACCUCUGAUAAGGGUAAGGUUAAUAGUUCAAUUCUAUUUAAUCCCA
This 75-nucleotide transfer RNA is filed under the name Candidatus Carsonella ruddii CE isolate Thao2000. RNAcentral's name for it is "tRNA-Ile (GAT) (tRNA-Ile-GAT-1-1)". It matches the Rfam family "tRNA". Rfam says of the family: Transfer RNA (tRNA) molecules are approximately 80 nucleotides in length. Their secondary structure includes four short double-helical elements and three loops (D, anti-codon, and T loops). Further hydrogen bonds mediate the characteristic L-shaped molecular structure. tRNAs have two regions of fundamental functional importance: the anti-codon, which is responsible for specific mRNA codon recognition, and the 3' end, to which the tRNAs corresponding amino acid is attached (by aminoacyl-tRNA synthetases). tRNAs cope with the degeneracy of the genetic code in two manners: having more than one tRNA (with a specific anti-codon) for a particular amino acid; and 'wobble' base-pairing, i.e. permitting non-standard base-pairing at the 3rd anti-codon position. The record is from RNAcentral. Lineage: Bacteria; Pseudomonadati; Pseudomonadota; Gammaproteobacteria; Oceanospirillales; Halomonadaceae.